GAGCACUGUUUCGGCUAGGGGGCCAUCCCGGCUUACCAACCCGAUGCAAACUGCGAAUACCGGAGAAUGUUAUCACGGGAGACACACGGCGGGUGCUAACGUCCGUCGUGAAGAGGGAAACAACCCAGACCGCCAGCUAAGGUCCCAAAGUCAUGGUUAAGUGGGAAACGAUGUGGGAAGGCCCAGACAGCCAGGAUGUUGGCUUAGAAGCAGCCAUCAUUUAAAGAAAGCGUAAUAGCUCACUGGUCGAGUCGGCCUGCGCGGAAGAUGUAACGGGGCUAAACCAUGCACCGAAGCUGCGGCAGCGACGCUGAUGCGUUGUUGGGUAGGGGAGCGUUCUGUAAGCCUGCGAAGGUGGCCUGUGAGGGUUGCUGGAGGUAUCAGAAGUGCGAAUGCUGACAUAAGUAACGAUAAAGCGGGUGAAAAGCCCGCUCGCCGGAAGACCAAGGGUUCCUGUCCAACGUUAAUCGGGGCAGGGUGAGUCGACCCCUAAGGCGAGGCCGAAAGGCGUAGUCGAUGGGAAACGGGUUAAUAUUCCCGUACUUGGUGUUACUGCGAAGGGGGGACGGAGAAGGCUAUGUUGGCCGGGCGACGGUUGUCCCGGUUUAAGCGUGUAGGUGUGUGUUCCAGGUAAAUCCGGUUCACUUUAACACUGAGGCGUGAUGACGAGGCACUACGGUGCUGAAGCAACAAAUGCCCUGCUUCCAGGAAAAGCCUCUAAGCAUCAGGUAACAUCAAAUCGUACCCCAAACCGACACAGGUGGUCAGGUAGAGAAUACCAAGGCGCUUGAGAGAACUCGGGUGAAGGAACUAGGCAAAAUGGUGCCGUAACUUCGGGAGAAGGCACGCUGACACGUAGGUGAAGUGAUUUACUCAUGGAGCUGAAGUCAGUCGAAGAUACCAGCUGGCUGCAACUGUUUAUUAAAAACACAGCACUGUGCAAACACGAAAGUGGACGUAUACGGUGUGACGCCUGCCCGGUGCCGGAAGGUUAAUUGAUGGGGUCAGCGCAAGCGAAGCUCCUGAUCGAAGCCCCGGUAAACGGCGGCCGUAACUAUAACGGUCCUAAGGUAGCGAAAUUCCUUGUCGGGUAAGUUCCGACCUGCACGAAUGGCGUAAUGAUGGCCAGGCUGUCUCCACCCGAGACUCAGUGAAAUUGAACUCGCUGUGAAGAUGCAGUGUACCCGCGGCAAGACGGAAAGACCCCGUGAACCUUUACUAUAGCUUGACACUGAACAUUGAGCCUUGAUGUGUAGGAUAGGUGGGAGGCUUUGAAGUGUGGACGCCAGUCUGCAUGGAGCCGGCCUUGAAAUACCACCCUUUAAUGUUUGAUGUUCUAACGUGGACCCGUGAUCCGGGUUGCGGACAGUGUCUGGUGGGUAGUUUGACUGGGGCGGUCUCCUCCUAAAGAGUAACGGAGGAGCACGAAGGUUGGCUAAUCCUGGUCGGACAUCAGGAGGUUAGUGCAAUGGCAUAAGCCAGCUUGACUGCGAGCGUGACGGCGCGAGCAGGUGCGAAAGCAGGUCAUAGUGAUCCGGUGGUUCUGAAUGGAAGGGCCAUCGCUCAACGGAUAAAAGGUACUCCGGGGAUAACAGGCUGAUACCGCCCAAGAGUUCAUAUCGACGGCGGUGUUUGGCACCUCGAUGUCGGCUCAUCACAUCCUGGGGCUGAAGUAGGUCCCAAGGGUAUGGCUGUUCGCCAUUUAAAGUGGUACGCGAGCUGGGUUUAGAACGUCGUGAGACAGUUCGGUCCCUAUCUGCCGUGGGCGCUGGAGAACUGAGGGGGGCUGCUCCUAGUACGAGAGGACCGGAGUGGACGCAUCACUGGUGUUCGGGUUGUCAUGCCAAUGGCACUGCCCGGUAGCUAAAUGCGGAAGAGAUAAGUGCUGAAAGCAUCUAAGCACGAAACUUGCCCCGAGAUGAGUUCUCCCUGAGACUUAGAGUCUCCUGAAGGAACGUUGAAGACGACGACGUUGAUAGGCCGGGUGUGUAAGCGCAGCGAUGCGUUGAGCUAACCGGUA
Molecule: ribosomal RNA, 2020 nt
Filed under: Salmonella enterica
Lineage: Bacteria; Pseudomonadati; Pseudomonadota; Gammaproteobacteria; Enterobacterales; Enterobacteriaceae
Description: partial 23S ribosomal RNA
Rfam family: Bacterial large subunit ribosomal RNA
Source: RNAcentral